UUUCCUACGGGAGGCAGCAGUGGGGAAUAUUGCACAAUGGGGGAAACCCUGAUGCAGCGACGCCGCGUGAGUGAAGAAGUAUUUCGGUAUGUAAAGCUCUAUCAGCAGGGAAGAAAAUGACGGUACCUGACUAAGAAGCCCCGGCUAACUAAGUGCCAGCAGCCGCGGUAAUAAGUAGGGGGCAAGCGUUAUCCGGAUUUACUGGGUGUAAAGGGAGCGUAGACGGCAGAGCAAGUAUGAAGUGAAAGCCCGCGGCCCAAAUGCGGGACUGCUAUGGAAACU
Molecule: ribosomal RNA, 282 nt
Filed under: uncultured bacterium
Lineage: Bacteria
Description: partial 16S ribosomal RNA
Rfam family: Bacterial small subunit ribosomal RNA
Source: RNAcentral